This 22-nucleotide microRNA is filed under the name Monodelphis domestica (gray short-tailed opossum). Its description in RNAcentral is "mdo-miR-7260-5p". The record is from miRBase by way of RNAcentral. Lineage: Eukaryota; Metazoa; Chordata; Mammalia; Didelphimorphia; Didelphidae.
AUGGCUAAAACAACUGUGGUCC